UGGGGAAUAUUGCACAAUGGGCGCAAGCCUGAUGCAGCAACGCCGCGUGCGGGAUGACGGCCUUCGGGUUGUAAACCGCUUUCAGUUCCGACGAAGCGCAAGUGACGGUAGGAACAGAAGAAGGACCGGCCAACUACGUGCCAGCAGCCGCGGUGAUACGUAGGGUCCGAGCGUUGUCCGGAAUUAUUGGGCGUAAAGGGCUUGUAGGCGGUUUGUCACGUCGGAAGUGAAAACUCAGGGCUCAACCCUGAGCCUGCUUCCGAUACGGGCAAACUAGAGGGAUGCAGGGGAGAAUGGAAUUCCUGGUGGAGCGGUGGAAUGCGCAGAUAUCAGGAGGAACACCGGUGGCGAAGGCGGUUCUCUGGGCAUUUCCUGACGCUGAGAAGCGAAAGCGUGGGGAGCAAACA
This 407-nucleotide ribosomal RNA is filed under the name uncultured bacterium. RNAcentral describes it as "bacterial SSU rRNA". It matches the Rfam family "Bacterial small subunit ribosomal RNA", at positions 355 to 774 of the family's 1533-position model. The record is from RNAcentral.